This 253-nucleotide ribosomal RNA is filed under the name uncultured bacterium. RNAcentral describes it as "partial 16S ribosomal RNA". It matches the Rfam family "Bacterial small subunit ribosomal RNA", at positions 524 to 776 of the family's 1533-position model. The record is from RNAcentral.
UACGAAGGGGGCUAGCGUUGCUCGGAAUGACUGGGCGUAAAGGGCGCGUAGGCGGAUGGCACAGUCAGAUGUGAAAUUCCCGGGCUUAACCUGGGGGCUGCAUUUGGGACUGCAAGGCUUGAGUGCGGCAGAGGAGACUGGAAUUCCUGGUGUAGCGGUGAAAUGCGCAGAUAUCAGGAGGAACACCGAUGGCGAAGGCAGGUCUCUGGGCCACUACUGACGCUGAGAAGCGAAAGCAUGGGGAGCGAACAGG